This is a long non-coding RNA of Magnolia sinica, 735 nucleotides long. RefSeq lists it as uncharacterized. The record is from RefSeq and is a predicted model, not a curated record. The transcript is spliced from 5 exons. NCBI's taxonomy places the organism in Eukaryota, Viridiplantae, Streptophyta, Magnoliopsida, Magnoliales, Magnoliaceae.
UCUCUCGCGCCGACGUCCAUCUCCCAAAACCCAAACCCUCUCUCUCUCUCUCUCUCUCUCUCUCUCGUACUCAGCCUCUCCCUCUCCCUCGCCCUCUCUCGAUCUCUUGCGCUCCCUCACCCUCUCUCUGUCUCUUGGCCCCAUUCCUCUCUCUCUGUUUCUCAACCUCUCUCUUUCUCUCUCUCGCUAGGGUUUUCAAAACCCCCUUUCGCCCAAACCCACCGUUGAUCUGUGAGAGAGACUUGGAGAGCACUCGAAAGAAGGAGAAGAAGAAGAAGAAGAAAAAGGAGAAGAAGGAGAGGAGAUCCAGACAUCGGCAAUGAAUCGAGCAUACACUGUAAGUGAGUUCAGAAUUGUGGUAGAUACUUUGAAUCAACUGGUACCUGAAAUGCAGAUUGCAACAGAUAUAAUUUGUGGAUUCCCUAGGUGUCCCCACUCCCUUUUGAGGCGAGACUAAUCCCUGCGGAUGCACAUAAUCACCCACAAACCACAUGCACUUUUUGGCAUUCUUCUUACGGGGACUUAUCUGUUGGUCAGAAAUACACAAGUGGACCCCACAUUCCAUCUGUGAUUAGGAUCGUUGUUUAGUGGGCCACCAUAUUCUGAGUUGUAUCUCACAAAUCAAGCAAGUUCUUCUACUUCAACAUCUGUAGUUGUAUCCACUGAAGGUGCAGCAAAAAUUAGUUUUUUUUGGUUCUGUUGCCACUAUAGGUGAAGUUCUUGUUUUUAUUUCUU